CCUCGGGUGGCAGCAGUCGAGAAUCAUUCACAAUGGGGGAAACCCUGAUGGUGCGACGCCGCGUGGGGGAAUGAAGGUCUUCGGAUUGUAAACCCCUGUCAUGUGGGAGCAAAUUAAAAAGAUAGUACCACAAGAGGAAGAGACGGCUAACUCUGUGCCAGCAGCCGCGGUAAUACAGAGGUCUCAAGCGUUGUUCGCAAUCACUGGCCGUAAAGCGUGCGUAGGCUGUUUCGUAAGUCGUGUGUGAAAGGCGCGGGCUCAACCCGCGGACGGCACAUGAUACGGCGAGACUGGAGUAAUGACGGGGGAACUGGGAUUCUCGGUGUAGCAGGGACAUGCAUAGAUAUC
RNAcentral lists this ribosomal RNA (348 nucleotides) under uncultured bacterium. RNAcentral's name for it is "partial 16S ribosomal RNA". It matches the Rfam family "Bacterial small subunit ribosomal RNA", at positions 339 to 698 of the family's 1533-position model. The record is from RNAcentral.